AUCCAAAGGAUCAUCAUGGCCCUUUGCUAGAGUGGGAGCUGACAGGGCCAGAUAAUAAACAGAUCCUGCCUAAAGUCCAGGCAGGCUUAUGUGCCUUUAGUAGGUAUGUGGGACCCACUCAGUGGACAUUCCCCUAAUCUCUGAGUGUAUGAUUGGAAUUGAUAUGCUUGGAAGUUGGAGUAACUCCACCUUGAUCACUUGUCCUCUGAGUGAAAUGCUCUUAUACUGACUAAAUUUUAGUUAGAAGUCCUUCUCCUGGAACUUCGGCUUUUGUGGCUUAUACAACAUGCGAUGCAGUGAGCCUCGAGUUCCAUAAGGUGGCAUCAACCCACUAGAGUGAGUAGGGGACACGGCUGAUUUUAUUUCAGGUGACCUUGGACCUUCAACUUUCAUUAAUUCCUAUAGUUGUUUAUGCAAAUAGAAAAUUCAAAGACAUUGUAAAAGCUUCCUUCAUAUCUAAUAGCUUCUGACUUACAAAAAGAAAAUUUCAAA
RNAcentral lists this long non-coding RNA (492 nucleotides) under Callithrix jacchus (white-tufted-ear marmoset). RNAcentral describes it as "lncRNA (ENSCJAG00000086590.1)". Lineage: Eukaryota; Metazoa; Chordata; Mammalia; Primates; Cebidae. The record is from RNAcentral.